Molecule: long non-coding RNA, 563 nt
Organism: Drosophila busckii
Lineage: Eukaryota; Metazoa; Arthropoda; Insecta; Diptera; Drosophilidae
Exons: 3
Source: RefSeq, a predicted model, not a curated record
UAUUUACUAUAAAAAUGUUUUCAAAAUAAAGCAUAAAACACUAUGGGGACCACACAGUAAAAAAAAAAUAUGGCGUAAUUGUUUUGAAGUUUUAAGCUAUUGCAUAAAAAUGCAAUCAAUAUCAAUAUCAACCUCAAUACUUCUUUUCUUUUGCAAUCAAAAAGGAAAUAAUGAUGCUGAAUGUGAAUUUCCGCACACUUCUCGCAUAUGGGCUGACAUCCCUUCCACAUUCAAUACAAAUCAAGUCAUCAAUUUAUCAAAUCGAUUAACACAUUAGCUAUUUGUUUACAAUUUUGAUUAAAUUCGCAGCAAGGUCCAAGCUUCCGCACACUUUGAAGCUUGUGUUUGCCAUGCGAAAUAUUUUCUAUUCUUUUCACUCAAGCUGAUUAAUAUCUCUUAUCGUUGCCUGGGGAUUAUUUCGCCACCAUUCAAUAUUCAAUUCAAUUGCUGAACUCUGCCAGGGCAAGUUCUACUCUACUCUUUGUUGUUUGUUGAUCGAAACACUAUCAAUAUUGUUAACAUGCUUGCAUCAAUGUAUAAAUAUAAACCUUGCUAAAACCUAA